GACGAACGCUGGCGGCGUGCCUAAUACAUGCAAGUCGAGCGAUGAUUAAAGAUAGCUUGCUAUUUUAUGAAGAGCGGCGAACGGGUGAGUAACGCGUGGGAAAUCUGCCGAGUAGCGGGGGACAACGUUUGGAAACGAACGCUAAUACCGCAUAACAAUGAGAAUCGCAUGAUUCUUAUUUGAAAGAAGCAAUUGCUUCACUACUUGAUGAUCCCGCGUUGUAUUGGGUAGUUGGUAGUGUGAAGGACUACCAAGGCGAUGAUACAUAGCCGGCCUGCGAGGGUGAUCGGCCACACUGGGACUGAGCCACGGACCAGACUCCUACGGGAGGCAGCAAUAGGGAAUCUUCGGCAAUGGGGGCAACCCUGACCGAGCAACGCCGCGUGAGUGAAGAAGGUUUUCGGAUCGUAAAACUCUGUUGUUAGAGAAGAACGUUAAGUAGAGUGGAAAAUUACUUAAGUGACGGUAUCUAACCAGAAAGGGACGGCUAACUACGUGCCAGCCGCCGCAGUAA
Molecule: ribosomal RNA, 514 nt
Filed under: uncultured bacterium
Lineage: Bacteria
Description: partial 16S ribosomal RNA
Rfam family: Bacterial small subunit ribosomal RNA
Source: RNAcentral